This 466-nucleotide ribosomal RNA is filed under the name uncultured bacterium. RNAcentral describes it as "partial 16S ribosomal RNA". It matches the Rfam family "Bacterial small subunit ribosomal RNA", at positions 28 to 507 of the family's 1533-position model. The record is from RNAcentral.
GAUGAACGCUGGCGGCGUGCUUAACACAUGCAAGUCGAACGGAAAGGCCCAAGCUUGCUUGGGUACUCGAGUGGCGAACGGGUGAGUAACACGUGGGUGAUCUGCCCUGCACUUCGGGAUAAGCCUGGGAAACUGGGUCUAAUACCGGAUAGGACCACUUCUUGGAUGUUGUGGUGGAAAGUUUUUUCGGUGUGGGAUGAGCUCGCGGCCUAUCAGCUUGUUGGUGGGGUAAUGGCCUACCAAGGCGUCGACGGGUAGCCGGCCUGAGAGGGUGUACGGCCACAUUGGGACUGAGGUACGGCCCAGACUCCUACGGGAGGCAGCAGUGGGGAAUAUUGCACAAUGGGCGCAAGCCUGAUGCAGCGACGCCGCGUGGGGGAUGACGGCCUUCGGGUUGUAAACUCCUUUCGCUAGGGACGAAGCGUUUUGUGAGGUACCUGGAGAAGAAGCACCGGCUAACUACGUG